UCUAGAGAGGGGAAUCUUAGGUAUAUACGUUUGCAUGUUUCAAAGCCUCUGGAUAACUGGAAUCUUUGUAAUUCUCUUUUCAGGGCCUUAGAGACAUUGAGAUUGUUCAAGGUGUUUGACCUUUGGAUAUUAAGGAGAUAAAAGUGAAGAGUUUUUGGCACUGGAUUAUCAGCAAGAUUCUGCAGUAACUUAUGCUGGGCUUGGUGGAAGUAAGCACCGUCUCAUUGGAAGGUCAGGAACAACAGUUAACGGAAUGAAGUUAGUCCCUUAUCCAAACCAUAAACACAAGAGACUCUGCAGGUGCUGGACUUCUAAAGCAACACAGUCAGAAUGCUGGAGGAACUCAGCAAGUCAGGCAGAGGAAUCAACAAUCAAUGUUUUAGGACCUCUUUGCUUUUCCUUACUAUGGCAUUUUGGCAGAGUAAAGGAAGUCACAGUGGUAUGAGAGAAGAGCUGGCCAAAGUAAAUUGGAAGGAGAUGCUGGCAGUGGUGACAGCAGAGCAACAGUGACGUGAAUUUCUGGGAAAGUGAGGAAGGCAGCCAUAAAACACAGAACCCAUUAAAAACAAAAGAAGACCAUCAAUCACCAAAUGUGAAGAGAGAGAGAGAAAAACAAAGCAAGCAAACAACAUUGCGAACUGAAGUUCACAACGCCAGGCAUCAUUUCAGCCGAUCCAGAAGUGCAUUCGUUGCAGGCCACAGCCUCCGCCCAGCACAGAGAUGAGCAAAUCCCGCAGAGCAGUGAGCCGAAGCGGCCCAUCUCUCGCCUCUGAUCCCAACACCUUGACCAUUUCAAUAUGGCCUGGUGCGUAAAUGGUCCAACCUUCCGGUCGUUCCUCACCCUCUGCCUCUUCGAAACACCCUUGGGCUCGGGCUCUGCUGUUUCAAUUCGAUGAGUCCUGUGCACGACCAGUAAGAGGAGAUUCGCCCAAAUACUCGUUUGAAUGUGGACAGAGGUAUUUUCAAAAGCACUUGGUGUGUAUGCCUAUCAUUUUUACGCAAAACCGGCGUUUUCAAAAUUAUCCGGUCUAGUGUGGACGUAGCCUAACUGCUAUGCUCCAGGGUGCGGUUCACAUAGAGGGUCUUGAUAUCUGAAGGUAAGGUGGCCAGUGUUCAAAGCUCUAAGUACAUUUAUUAUCAAAAUAUGUAUCCAUUAUACAACCUUGAGAUUUGUCUCCUCACAGGCAGCCACAAAACAAACUCAAAAAAACACAUUUAAAAAAGAAUGUCAAACACCCAAUGUGCAGAAAGAAAUAAAGACAAAUUGUGCAAACAAUAAAAGCAAGCAAAUAGUGUUCAGAACUGAAGUGCGUGAGGAAAGCCUGUCCACAGACACAAAGUCACAGAGGGUCUUGAUAUCCGAAGGUAAGACAGCCUGUGUUGUAGAUGAAAUGACAUUGAAAAUUAGAGAAAUGCAGAAAUCAAAAGGUUAGAGUCACAGCACAGAAACAGGACCUUCAGCCCAUCUAGUCUGUGCUGAACUGUUACUCUGCCUCAUCCUAUUGACCUGUAUCUGGACCAUAUCCCUCCAUAACCCUCCCAUCCAUGCACUUAUCCAAACUUCUCUUAACUGUUGCAAUCAAAAGUAUAUCCUCUAAUUCCUCUGGCAGCUCAUUCCACACUCACACCACCCUCUGAGUGAAGAUGUUUCCCCCUAAACAUCUCACCUCUCAUCCUUGACUUAUGAGUGGUGAAGAGAGUUCAGAGUAACGAGAGCACCUGAACUCGGGGGGGAUGGGUUGCAGACAAGGAGCAGAGUCAGUCAGUGAGUAUCAAGUUAGGGUGAGGCCCCAGCUGACAGAGCUGGCAGGGGAAGGAGGACUGAGGUUUCAGGGACUUCUUUCAGAGCACCUUUUGGAACCAUGAAACGAACGGACAUUCCUGGAGAGUAAGGAUAAGCUGAAUUGGAAACUCCUGGGUAACUCUUCAGUUCCACUUGGCAGGUUGCAAUGUGUGUGUGAAGAACUUGCGAAGGAAAUCACUGAGUGCCCGUGAAGUAUUCAUUAACACCUCUGAUCACAGUGUAGAGAUGACGUGGAAUCUUGCUGGAAGGUGCAAGUAGUUUGUAUGACUGAAGUAAAUGUGGACGUGUUAAAUUCUAGAGAUGAGUAAAACCGUGUUCUGAGCUCAGACUCUGGUUUUAAAUGGAGGAAAGUGACAAUUUUUCAUUUUAAUACAUGAGUUAUGUUCUGAACCAUAAAUUCAAUGUCAUCUGCAAGAACACACUUUAUAAAUUACAAGAAACAUACAAUCUUCUGGAGGAAUUCAAUGGAUUGAGCAGCAUCUGUGGGGAUGGGGGCGAAGGAAUUGCCAAUAUUAUGGUCAAAACUGCACAUAAGGGCUAUUCAGGUUCAGGAAUAGUUAUCACCCCUCAACCCCUGGGACUCCUGACCCAGCAUCAAUAAGCUCACUCAACCCAGCACUGAGCUGAAUCCACAACCUAUGGACUCUGCAACUCAUAUUCCCAAUAUUAUUUAUUACAGUAUAUCUACUAUUAUUAUUUUACUUUUCUUUUUGUGUUUGCACAGCUUGUUGCCUUUUGUUGGUGCUGGGGUGGAGACACGUCUCUGCCAAAGGAGGUGUGAGGCGCUCCUUCUCUCCGUUAGCCUGCAGGUCACCCUUGGACAAGGUGUAACACCUACUUAGCCCCUGAUCGGAUCACAUGAAGCCAUGGGAGCAGGUGGAGGACAAUCGUAUGAGCAGCCGGUGCAAAUCACAAGUCCUGGUUAUGAGGUCACUGACGCCAGGCAGAUGGUCUCUGAAGAGUAUUGAUAACGGCUGAAGUCACCAAUCUUGUAAAGACACUGUCUAGAAGAAGGCAAUGGCAAGCCACUUCUGUAGAAAAAUUUGCCAAGAACAAUAUUGCUCAUGCACCAUGAUGGUGAUGAUGAAAUCAGCAAAGAAAAUAAUUCCAAGUCCAGAUAAUACAAGCAGCACAGACGUCUGCAGUCACCAACAAAACAAUGGUGUCCAUUUACCUUAAUAAUACACUCAGUGGCCUCCUGUGCAUCUGCUCAUUUAUGCAAAUAUCUAAUUAGCCAAUCAUGUGGCAGCAACUCAAUGCAUUAAAGCAUGCAGACAUGGUCAAGAGGUUCAGUCGUUAGUCAGAUGAAAUAUCAGAAUGUAAUCUAAGUGACUUUGACCAUGGACUGAUUGUUGAUGUCAGAUGGGAAGGUUUGGGUGUCUCAGAAACUGCUGACCUCCUGGGAUUUUUAUGCACAACAGUCUCUAGAGUUUAUAGAGAAUGGUGCGAAAGACAAAAAAAAUCCCAGAGCGCCAGUUCUGUGGGUGGAAAUGCCUUGUUAAUGAGAGAGCUCAGAGUAGAAUGGCCAGACUGGUUCAAGCUGACAGCAAUUCAGAUAAUCACACAUUACACAGUGGUGUGCGGAACAUCUCAGAAAGCACUACAUGCCAAACCUUGAAGUGGAUGGGAUAUAGCCGCAGAAGACCACAAACAUACACUUUAUGAGGUACAGGAGGUACCUCAUGAAGUGACCACUGAGUUUACAGUCGACUGAGUUUCAGUCAGUUUUAUUUAAUGCAGAAUUAUCUGACACUUCAAUUAUUUUUUACAUGAUAUUGCUGCUUUGAGAUUUUACUUGCAUCUUUAUCUCAAUUUUUAGAGCAUAAGAUCAGCUAUUGUUUAUGAAUGAAGAGUGAUUUACAUGGAAACACUGACUGUGGUAACAAUUGUAGGGGAAGAAUAACGGAAUUUACCUUCCUGGUUAUAAAUGUUGAGUAAAACAUCCCUAACAUCUUCCAGAGCACCAAGCAGAAACAUUACGCCUGUUUCUCUCUCCACACUAUUUGCCUGAUUCAUUGCACAUUUCAAGCAUUUUGUAAAGUUGAGUUUCAGAUUUCGAGUAUCUGAGCUAUUUCAGUAGUAGAAUUGCAAUCACACGAGUCAUGUAUGAUGUUCUCCUAAGAGGUUGUCUAUUGGUGCGAGCAGUUUCAAUUUCCUAGGAGAGUAGAUCUUGUACAACCUGCCGUGGUCCCAGAAUACAUCCUACACAAUCUAGAAAGCUCACCAACACAUCUACUUUCUGAGGAGACUGAAGAGACUGGACUGUGCACAUCAAUCUUCACACCAUUCUACAGGUGCACAGUAGAGAGCAUGCUAACCAGCUACACGGUCAGAGAGUGUCCUGUGGUGGACAAUAAGGCUUUACAACGGGAGGUCCAAACUGCCCAAUGCAUCACUGGCAGCAGCCUACCCGCCAUCAAGGACAUAUAUACAGACAGGUGCCGGAAAAAUUUCAUGGAGGAUCCCACCCGCCCAGCUCAUGGACUGUUUGUCCCACUCCCUUCAGAGAGCAGACUACACAGCCUCCACACCGGGACCAUCAGAAUCAAAAACAUUUAUCUUCCCCAAGCAGUGAGGCUGAUCAACACCUCCACCCACUAACCCACACCUCCACACCCCCAACCACCACUACUUAUCAUUUCCUGUCAGUCACUUUGUGUACUGAUACUCCUGUUGCUAGCAUCACUUUAUGUACAUACGAGGGUGAUUGAUAAGUUUGUGGCCUAAGGUAGAAGGAGUCAAUUUUAGAAAAACUAGCAUAUUUAUUUUUCAACAUAGUCCCCUCCUACAUUUACACACUUAGUCCAGUGGUUGUGGAGCAUACGGAUCUUGGACCUACAGAAAGUGUCCUCAGAUGGGCAAUUGAUAAGUUUGUGGCCUAAGGUAGAAGGAGAUGAGUUAUACAUCUCUCAUUACAUGCACAUGCAGUUCAACUUUUUGAGUGAUUAUGCAGAAAGUUUGAAGUUAAUAACUCAUCUCCUUCUACCUUAGGCCAGAACCUUAUCAAUCACUCCUGAUGAGUUAUUAACUUCAAAUCAGCUAUAGCAUGCCCACAACUUUCUAACCCAAACCCUAACUGUAGGGUCUUUGGAAGACGGGAGGAAACCAGAGCACCUGCAGCAAUGUCAUGGGGAGAACCUACAACCUCCUGUCGACAGCAGCAUUUAUCGAACUCCAAUCGGUGAUCACUGGCACUGAAAAGCUAACUGCUUUGCCACCAAGCCCCCAUAAGGAUUGGCUUUGUUUCGAUUAUUAGGAGUUAUUUUGAAGAUAUGAAAACUAGACCGAGAAUUUCAACAAAGAUGCAGAUUAAAUUAAAACCAAAUAAAGGAAGUCUAUUGAGAUUUCCCCACAGUAAAUUGUUAAAAAGUGAUGUGACAAUCCCAAUACCUUCGGGUUUGGAGUCUACGUUGAGCACAAAAACUGCUGGUCAGGUUAUGCAGCAUCUAGGAAGAGGAAUUAACAGUUGACCUUUCAGGCCAGGACCCUUCAUCAGGACAUGUGGUAUGAAGUAGAUGUUAAAAUAUCAUCAAGAUCUGGCACCGCUACUGAAAUCUUCUUGCUUGUCCUUCACCAAUUGAAAAUUGAAUGGCAUUGGUAGAAAGCAAAGAUUAACUCUGGUUGAGACUGAAGCAAUUAAUGACAUCUUUGUUAAAAGAGCUUAUAUAAAAUAGGGAACAAAGGGGAUAACUUCACAUAACUUCACUUGCCCCAUCAUUGAAAUGUUCCCACAACUAAUGGAUUCACUUUCAAGGACUUUUCAUCUUAUGUUCUCAAUAUUAUUGAUUGUUCUUUUUGCAUUUGCACAGUUUGUUGUCUUCUGCACUCUGGAUGAAUGCCCUAGUCUGAUGGUCCUUUAUCGAUCCUGUCAUAGUUACUAUUCUAUAGAUGUACUGAGGAUGCCUACAAGAAAAUAAAUCUCAGAGUUGUAUAUGGUCACACAUAUGUAUUUCGAUAACAAAAUUUACUUUGCACAUCAUACAAAGACAUAAAAGCAAAUGUUAAAAAUGUAAUGACUUAUGAAAAGCCAUAGUUAAAUUUAUUUUUAUUUCCAGACCUGCAGAGUAUUCCUAUCCAUGGAUGAUAUUGCAAUACGGUGGCACAGUGAUGCAGUAUGUAGAACAGGACAGCACAGUUACAUAGUGGUUAGCACAUUGCUUUACAGUGCCAAUAACCCAGGUUCAAUUCCCACAACUGUCUGUGAGGAUUUUGUACUUUCUCCUCAUGAACACAUGGUGCUCCGGUUUCCUCACACAGUCCAAAAUCGUACAGGUUAUUACAUUAAUUGGUCACAUGGGUAUAACUAUGCAGUGUGGGUUCAAUGGCCUGGAAGGGCCUGUUAUCAUGCUCUAUCUUUUAAAAAAAUACUGUAGUCUCACAGUGCUAGUGCCCUGGGCUCGUGUGCAGUUUGUACUUCCUUCCUGUGACUGCAUGGAUUUAUUUCAAGUGUUCCGAUCUCAAAGAGAAUAGAUUUAUUUACCACAUGUUCAUCAAAAUAUACAGUGAAAUGUGUUGUCUGGGUCAAAUUAGGAUUGUGCUGGACUGCCCCAAGCAUACACCUGUAACUCACCAGUCCUAACUCGUACAUCUUUGGAACGUGGGAGAAAACCAGAGCGCCCAGAGGAAACCCACACAGUCAUGGGGAGAACGUACCAAGUUCUUACAUAGAGCAGCAGGAAUUGAACACCGAUUGAUGAUCACUGGAAUUGUAAAGUGUUAAGCUAACCACUACGCUUCUGUGCUGCUUCACAUCCCAAAAUUGUGGAGGUUGGUAGGAUAAUUGCCACUCUAAGUUGUCCAUAGUGUGUAGAAUCAGUGCACAUGUUGAUGGGGAUAAGGUAGGAUUAGUAUGGGGGCAGGGUUAAUGGUCAUUAUUACUCAGUGGACUGAAGGAUCUGUUUCCCUGCUGUAUUUCUCUAUAACUUAUGAAAAUAAAGCAGUCAUAAUCAAAUUGUGGAGAAGACUUGAUGGGCUGAAUGGCCUAAUUCUUCUAUGUCUUAUUGUCCCAUGGUCUAUUAAACUUCAGAGAGUUAGAGGAGA
Hypanus sabinus (Atlantic stingray) is the source of this 6844-nucleotide RNA transcript. It is a transcript of the gene named proline-rich protein 36-like, with no coding region annotated. NCBI's taxonomy places the organism in Eukaryota, Metazoa, Chordata, Chondrichthyes, Myliobatiformes, Dasyatidae. The transcript is spliced from 6 exons. The record is from RefSeq and is a predicted model, not a curated record.